Molecule: long non-coding RNA, 1724 nt
Filed under: Struthio camelus australis
Lineage: Eukaryota; Metazoa; Chordata; Aves; Struthioniformes; Struthionidae
Description: lncRNA (ENSSCUG00000016094.1)
Source: RNAcentral
CUAUAUUGGAAGAAAUUUAGUGUUGUAACUAUGGCUACUGACUGUCACAGAGGAUCAGGGAGAGAGAGAAUCUGUGUGUGUAUAAAAGUGAAAUAAUGCUGUUUAUUUUCAUGAAUUUGGAGUAACUACAUAACUCAUCAGGACUGCUGAAGCCUGUAUAGCCUACCAGAUUCAUAAUGCACUGCAUCACAGAGAAUUAGUUCAUAACUCAUUCAAAGCUCAACUCAGUAUUACUUGACUGACCACACUUCAUUUGCUGCGAAAUCCUUCUAUUUGUUUGGUGUACUUUUUUAAAGAAAUGGAACUUUGAAUGAUGGCCUGUUGGCAGAUAUAUUUGCCUCCCAGGGCCAUGAGUUGCAUGGGUGUAAGCAAGGGCAGAGUUUGUCUCUAAAUGACUAAAAUGCUACGCUCCCUUGGCUGUGAGAUGCAGAGGGAGUGCAUAAAAAUAACACAGAGCAUGAAAUCUUCAAAAGUAGCAGAAAGAGUGGGCUGAGCCACCAUAACAUGCCGCCUCCUUCCCAGGGGGCCUGCAAAAAGAUUUCUGCGCUUUCAGUCAGCCUUGCUUACCAGCAUUAUAUGUAUUGAUAAAGGCAAGGGCAUAGGGCUAGGGAGACAGCAUUCUCCAAAGCUAACAGUAAUUCUCUUGUCAAUUAAGCAAAUUGUGCCAACGCCUCCGGUAGGGCAAGGUGGGAUGAAGGAUGUGGGUGGGUGCAGUAGUGGUGGCUGAUGAAGAGCUUCGGAGACCUUCAGUGAUGGUGGAUACGCAGAGGACUGAGGUGUGCCAUGUUGCCCUCUGCGUCCAUGGUCACUGCAAUCUUCCUGCAGUAUGGCAAGAUGUGCCUCUACGUUUCUGAUGAGUGGUAGCCUCUGUAGCUUGACCCAGUAGCCAAAGAUGCCUUGUGUGUACACCUCGGCGAGAUGAGAACGGCCACACGCACUGCCUGGGAACUGCUCACACUUAGAGAAAACAUUUCUUUGGGCAAGUGUCUGGAGAAUGAACAAAGGAACAAAGCGCUUAAGCAGCACCUUUCUCAAAGUUGCAGAGAAGGCUACCGGCAAAGCAAGAGGCACCAGCUUUCAUCACAGGCUCCUGUUAGCGUACUGUCCUUUGAUCAGGUCGUCUCCCCAAGCUCAUGGGGUUCAGUCUGGAUACAUGAUUCCCUACAUAAAGACAAGCAUGGAGAAGAAGGAAAGAUUAAUCCUCAGACAUCCUUUAUGGAGAAUCUCAAUGCAAGAGAAUAUGCUGAGGGACUCAGCAUGAAGGUGUGUUAUUUGUAUUAAUCUGCAUCCACUACCUUAUUUAGGACUAUCUGUUUUUAUUGUGACAUUUCAUUUUCAUCAAAGGCAGUGAAUGUGUUCUGGGGAUUAAAGAUGUGAAGAAGGGCUGUCCUAAAAGAAAACGCCUCCCUGAACUGUGAUACAGUUUGUUUAGUUGGUAUUUAAUUUAUUUUGAUUUUAUUUUGUCAAUCAAGGCCUCUGCGUGCCUUCACCGUGAGGGGGCAGACUGUCAGAUUGAGGGUGAAAUGGGGCACAUGGACAGUGAGAGCUGUUUUUCUAGCAUUAGCCUCACUGGCUCUGGGCUCUGAUACUGUUAGGCAAAAUGGUAUCUUUGCAAGGCUCUGGCAUGAGGCAGCUGUUUUGCAGAGGUUCACAUUAUGCAAUGCUGAACAGAGAGAAUUCAGACAGUGAAUAAACCAAACCGGUGUCGAGACUUCUUGGCCCUA